GUGGCAGGAGGGAAAUGGGUGGGAGUGGGCUUCUAGGUUCUUGCAAAGAUUAAAACUGAACCCUCCAUUGAAAGCCUUUCAAGAUUCCCCCAGACCUGGAAACAGUGCUGGACUUGGCUGGAAAAAGGGGAGGCUGUCAGGAGGUAAAGCUGGAGAAUGCUGGAACCUCAGACCCCGAAAAGCUAAUAGACACGGCUCAUCCCUAUCGAAAACCAAGUGAGAAAUUCGUGCUUAGUCUCAUAUUUGACAAUCUGGAAUUGCUCAUUUUCAUACUCACUUUCAAUAAGAGAGAGCCCUUGAGCAAGGUUGUGAAAUAAAAUAAUUAUAGUCCUUUCAUUCAUACUGCAUUGUAUAAUUUACAUAAAGUUUUGUUAUUCAUUUUUUUAUCCGAGUCUCACAACAACCGUGUGAGGCAGGUGGAACAGGGAUUGCCAUUCCCUUCUGGCAAAAGACGAAACCGAGGCCCAGAACAGUUAAGUUACCAGAAUUCAUAGAGCCCAUUAUGUGGAACAGCCAGGCUAGAAUUCAGGCCCUUUGAGACCUUCCACGUUCCUUCCACUCUACCACGGAGAAAGGCUUGCCUUUGACAACUUGCCUGCCAGCUCCCUUGCCCACACUUGCUACUUUGAGAAACCACGCUGCUUAUAUCCACCCCUGGGAAACUUCUCAUUUGUCUCCCCCUUCCACAGCGACCUUUUCUAGGCUACACCCCCUCGUCCACACGCAGCUUUUCUCUGAUCUCAAUAACGUGUCCAUGCAGAGGAACUCUUUUUAAGGUUCUGUUUCAUGAGAGGGGCCGGGAGAACCUACCCACUGACCUAAUUUACUAAUUCUUGCUGAGAAGUUUGGGGAGUGAUUGUUACUCCUCCGAGAUAACAGCGCACUUUAAGAGAAGUUCUCAAUGCCUUACUCCAAAGCGUAGAUUCCAACUGUGAGAGUUUUAGCAUUUUGGCUUAUUUUGAAGCGCCUGCAGAUCCUAUGAUGUAAGUGCCCCUUCCCCCCAACACACAACUGGGACUAGCCCCACCUGAGUGAGCUAACAAGCUACUCGUCUAGUCCUUUGUGCAUAGGUGCCUUCUUCCUCUGAGCCCAGGGAACACAUCUUGACUCGCAGCUGAAGACUGGCUCCGUGGCCAGCUGGCACCCAGAGCUCUCCCAGGGAGAGUCAGCUUUUGGGGAGCUAACGGCACACUCCUGCCUGGUCUGGAGCGCCUGCCAUAGGUCUCCCCUUCCCGUCCCUCCAGGGAGCUGGAGCUUCUCUUUCUUCCUGAGAUGCUCAGGGAUUCUUGUCAGAGGAAGGGUAGAAGGUAUCCUCUCCAUUUACAGACCACCUGAUUUCUCCUGCAGCUGCAGUUUCCAGCAUUCUGACAGUCUUCCAUCUCAAGUAGCCUGUCUCUCUUCUCUGCCUGAGGCUUUCUUGGGCAAUGGAAGCUUGCUCUGCCUGAGCCAGGUGCAACCCGGAAGUGCAGGAUAGUAAACAUCAUUGGCGCUGACCUUCAACCAAUGGGGAUGGAAUAAAUAUCACACACUUCUCCUCCGAUGGGAUGAUUCUGAGGCAUGGUCCACAUGGUUUAUCAGAGAGUCUCCUGCAAGACUGAGUCCCAGCUGCCCACAAGAUAACUUGCUCGUUAACGUACUUGUUAGUAGCUUUUCUCCCUUCUUUGUCUCACUUUCCCCAUUUUCUUCUUGUGCUCCUGAGAUCACCUCCUAAAUAAACCACCUGUACCCAAA
This 1731-nucleotide long non-coding RNA is filed under the name Equus caballus (horse). RNAcentral describes it as "lncRNA (ENSECAG00000056267.1)". Lineage: Eukaryota; Metazoa; Chordata; Mammalia; Perissodactyla; Equidae. The record is from RNAcentral.